Small nucleolar RNA from Octodon degus (degu), 102 nucleotides. RefSeq annotates it as small nucleolar RNA U13. The record is from RefSeq and is a predicted model, not a curated record. NCBI's taxonomy places the organism in Eukaryota, Metazoa, Chordata, Mammalia, Rodentia, Octodontidae. The transcript has a single exon.
AUCCUUCAGUUCAUGAGCGUGAUGAUUGGGUGUUCAUGCCUUAGGCAUGAAAUGUGCCUCCCUCAAACCUUGCUACGACUUGGGCACAUUACCCAUCUGAAG